UGGGGAAUAUUGGACAAUGGGCGAAAGCCUGAUCCAGCAAUGCCGCGUGUGUGAAGAAGGCCUGCGGGUUGUAAAGCACUUUUCUGAAGGAAGAAACGGCCUGGGUUAAUACCCCAUGGCAAUUGACGGUACUUCAGGAAUAAGCACCGGCUAACUCCGUG
This 161-nucleotide ribosomal RNA is filed under the name uncultured bacterium. RNAcentral's name for it is "partial 16S rRNA". It matches the Rfam family "Bacterial small subunit ribosomal RNA", at positions 355 to 507 of the family's 1533-position model. The record is from RNAcentral.